This 253-nucleotide ribosomal RNA is filed under the name uncultured bacterium. RNAcentral describes it as "partial 16S ribosomal RNA". It matches the Rfam family "Bacterial small subunit ribosomal RNA", at positions 524 to 776 of the family's 1533-position model. The record is from RNAcentral.
UACGGGGGGGGCAAGCGUUGUUCGGAAUUACUGGGCGUAAAGGGCUCGUAGGUGGCCAACUAAGUCGGACGUGAAAUCCCUCAGCUUAACUGGGGAACUGCGUCCGAUACUGGAUGGCUUGAGUUUGGGAGAGGGAUGCGGAAUUCCAGGUGUAGCGGUGAAAUGCGUAGAUAUCAGGAGGAAUACCGGUGUGUAGACGGCUCGUCUGGACCGCCACUGACGCUGAGACACGAAAGCGUGGGUAGCAAACAGG